Molecule: unclassified non-coding RNA, 2142 nt
Filed under: Hevea brasiliensis (rubber tree)
Lineage: Eukaryota; Viridiplantae; Streptophyta; Magnoliopsida; Malpighiales; Euphorbiaceae
Source: RNAcentral
GUUUUUCCCAGCGUGCGAUGGCUUCUGGUCGCGUUAGUGGCGCAUGAAAAGAGAUGUGCAAAACUUAGCAGCACUUCAACGCUUGUUGCUAGUGUGUGCCCUUAUUGCUUUGCGUGCGCCUGUUGCGCGCCAGCCCAACCUUCGCACCCGCACCCGCCCCACUGCCAUCGCCUCUCCUAAUCCAAUAACAAAUCACUCUCCCACUAUCUUCCUCGACAAUAACGGACUUGAAACUGAUAAGAUCAUCACCACGACUGAUCCUAUCGUAGAGAUCUCGGUUUCUGAUCCGCGAUCCAUGUCGAAAGCGCGAGUUUAUGCCGAUGUUAACGUUUUGCGUCCCAAGGAGUACUGGGAUUACGAGUCUCUCACUGUUCAAUGGGGGGACCAAGAUGAUUAUGAAGUUGUUCGUAAAGUUGGAAGGGGAAAGUAUAGUGAGGUUUUUGAAGGCAUAAAUGUGAAUAACAACGAACGGUGCAUAAUCAAGAUUCUCAAACCUGUUAAGAAAAAGAAGAUCAAGAGGGAAAUAAAAAUACUUCAGAAUCUCUGUGGUGGCCCAAAUAUAGUUAAACUUCUUGAUAUUGUUAGAGAUCAGCACUCAAAGACUCCCAGCCUGAUAUUUGAAUAUGUGAACAGUACAGACUUCAAAGUUUUGUACCCCACGCUCACUGAUUAUGACAUACGCUACUACAUAUAUGAGCUUCUCAAGGCAUUGGACUACUGCCAUUCACAAGGAAUAAUGCAUAGAGAUGUCAAGCCUCACAAUGUCAUGAUUGACCAUGAGUUGCGAAAACUACGCUUGAUUGACUGGGGACUUGCAGAAUUCUACCAUCCUGGCAAAGAAUAUAAUGUCAGGGUAGCUUCAAGGUACUUUAAGGGGCCUGAACUCCUUGUUGAUUUACAAGACUAUGAUUAUUCUUUGGACUUGUGGAGCCUUGGUUGUAUGUGUGCUGGAAUGGUGAGCUUUUUGCUUUUCAUUUUCUAUCCCCUUUCUGCUUCACCCUUCCUAUGUCUUUCUUUUUCUUAGCAUGGAGAAUGUUAUUUGUAUCAUUGGGGUGGACAUCAUUUCGCGUUAAAUUCUCCCUGUGCACUUUUUAUGGUGCAUAUGAAAGUGGACGUCAAAUUGUUCUGCCAUCAAGUUUUGGCCUCAGUCCAAAUGAUAUGGUUUUUCACCUAUAAUGGAUUUCUCAGUGGGUUCCCUUGGAUGGCCUGCAAUAGAUUGUACCCCUGUUUAGUUUUCCAGAUUUAUGUUCUUGGUGAUGCCAUUGGCAAGUGAAUGUUGCUCUAAUGAUUUGCUUGCAUACGCGUCCAUGGGUGGCAGAUAUCAUGGAGGAUACAAAUAUGAUUUAUCCCUUCUUAGCCAUGUGAUGCUUUCUUGUUAUGCAGAUAUUCCGAAAAGAGCCAUUCUUCUAUGGGCAUGAUAAUUAUGAUCAGCUAGUUAAAAUAGCAAAGGUGCUUGGAACAGAUGAAUUGAAUGCUUAUUUGAAUAAGUACUGCAUAGAGUUGGAUCCUCAUCUUGCAGCCCUAGUUGGCAGGCACAGCCGGAAACCAUGGACGAAGUUUAUAAAUGUUGACAAUCAGCAUUUGGCAGUACCGGAGGCUGUUGACUUCCUUGACAAGUUGCUGCGAUAUGACCACCAAGAAAGGCCAACUGCAAAGGAAGCAAUGGCCCAUCCUUAUUUCUAUCCGAUUAGAAAUGGAGAAAGCAGCAGGGUUCGUACGUAGUUUGAAUCUCAGGAUGCUGUCAAAGGUGCAGCAUCUUUCUGUGCCUUGUAAUUGGACUUUAUUUAUAAUUACGGUGGUGAGCUUUCAUCCUACUCUUUAAUGUUUCUGUCGUCACAUAGCGUAAUUUAUAUAUCUUUUAGCAUUAAUAUUGUGAGUUUACUAUUGUGUAUGGAAAAUCACUGGCGGUUUUUAUGCUGGUUUUACUGUUUCAGUUGUAGGGGAAGUACCAAUAUGUUCAUUUUUCACUGAUAAAGAUUCAUUAGUUGAAUUAAUUUUUAUUAAACCAGUAGCUCACUCAGUUUGGAAGUUUUUCCCUAUAAUUACAACUUUCUAAAAUUGUUUUUUUCCUUCUAGAGGAAGCUCCAGCUAUUUUCAGUUAAAUAAACCAUUAGCAUUUAUCUAUUUUUAUUUUAAAAGUAG